GGAUUAGAUACCCUGGUAGUCCACACAGUAAACGAUGGAUGUUAGAUGUUUGGUUCAUAUGGACUGGGUGUCGAAGCUAACGCGUUAAACAUCCCGCCUGGGGAGUACGGUCGCAAGAUUAAAACUCAAAGGAAUUGACGGGGACCCGCACAAGCGGUGGAGUAUGUGGUUUAAUUCGAAGCUACGCGCAAAACCUUACCCACUUUUGAAUGCACAUUUUAGUUUUUAGAGAUAAAAGCUUUUAGGGUUUACCCUAGGUGUGCACAGGUGCUGCAUGGCUGUCGUCAGCUCGUGCCG
Molecule: ribosomal RNA, 297 nt
Filed under: uncultured bacterium
Lineage: Bacteria
Description: partial 16S ribosomal RNA
Rfam family: Bacterial small subunit ribosomal RNA
Source: RNAcentral